This 25-nucleotide non-coding RNA is filed under the name Arabidopsis thaliana (thale cress). Lineage: Eukaryota; Viridiplantae; Streptophyta; Magnoliopsida; Brassicales; Brassicaceae. The record is from RNAcentral.
AGACGGUUCAUCGAGCCAACAGCCU